GUUUGUUGUCCAACUUUUGAUUUUCAUUUUCUUUAAUUGCACAAUUGUUGCUUAAUAUAUAUAUAUAUAUAUAUAUAUAUAUAUAUAUAUGGGACGUGGGUAGCGCUGUGGGUUAAACCACAGAGCCUAGGACUUGCCAAUCAGAAGGUCGGCAGUUCGAAUCCCCGCGACGGGGUGAGCUCCCAUUGCUCGGUCCCUGCUCCUGCCAACCUAGCAGUUCGAAAGCAUGUCAAAGUGCAAGUAGAUAAAUAGGUACCGCUCCAGUGGGAAGGUAAAUGGCGUUUUCGUGUGCUGCUCUGGUUCGCCAGAAGCGGCUUAGUCAUGCUGGCCACAUGACCUGAAAGCUGUACACCGGCUCCCUCGGCCAAUAAAGCGAGAUGAGCGCCGCAACCCCAGAGUCGGUCAUGACUGGACCUAAUGGUCAGGGGUCCCUUUACCUUUAUAUAUAUAUAUAUAUAUAUAUAUGGACCUAAUGGUCAGGGGUAACUUUACCUAUAUACAUAUAUACAUAUAUACAUAUAUAUAUAUAUAUAUAUAUGAAUGUGACUUCUGACUUCUGCUAAAUAUCUGCUAAAUGUGCAGCACUAAAAAAGUGGCUUCUGCGAAAUAAAGCAUUUCCCCACUGAACUGACCUUCCCAAGCCCUCGGCGCCUCCUUAUCAAACUUGCAGGACCCAGACAGGCUGCAAUCCUGCUUCCCUUCAUUUCCCCGCCACCCCCGCCUUCCUCGUGGUCUUUCUGAUCAAGCCAGGCGCUCUCCCGGCCUCCUUCCAUUGUUAUCCCUCCCGCCUCCCCCCCACCCCGGCUCCUCGUCGCAAUCGCAUCACGUGACGCCGCCCUCCGCGGCUCUUCCUCCUCCUCUCGCUGGCGAUCACGUGUCUGCGAGCUCUUCGCUCCCGCCCCGAAGCCGCCUCGGCUGCUGCUUCUUAUUCAUUCGUCGGCGCGUCUUAGCGACGGCAGCGCACAAUUUCGGGCUACUGCUGCCGCCGCCGGUCUCGUUGCGGGAAACGGCGCCCAGAUAGACUUCACAUGCAGUUUGCAAGAUGACGCCAAAGCAUGAAAAACAGGUAAGUGCUUCAAUUUGUGUGUGUGUUGCUUUUUUAGUUUGGAAGGGGGUGUUUUCCCUAGAAAUAUGGAACUUUGUUUUAUACUACUAAAAGCAGAAAUGUUCUGCAAAAUGUUUCUGCGUUGAUCAGCCACUAUUCAGCGAACAGCUUGCAAGUUGGGUGUGACUAUAUCACCAACCAGCACUGAGUAAACAGGGCAGCUUAUAUCUGGGGUAGCAUCUUAGGAGACAAAGUAGGUUGUGUAAUUGCUGCAAUGAAGAGAUGG
This 1331-nucleotide long non-coding RNA is filed under the name Podarcis muralis (Common wall lizard). Its description in RNAcentral is "lncRNA (ENSPMRG00000018725.1)". The record is from RNAcentral. Lineage: Eukaryota; Metazoa; Chordata; Lepidosauria; Squamata; Lacertidae.